GCGUGCGUAGCUCAGUUGAUUAGAGCGCACGUGGGCCACACUGACUUGUCAGAUGCGUAUUUACGCAUGAAUUGUGGUACCCGCGUGAGGUCGCUGGUUUAACUCCAGCCGCACGCC
This 117-nucleotide transfer RNA is filed under the name Gammaproteobacteria bacterium. RNAcentral describes it as "tRNA-OTHER". The record is from RNAcentral. Lineage: Bacteria; Pseudomonadati; Pseudomonadota; Gammaproteobacteria.